RNAcentral lists this ribosomal RNA (899 nucleotides) under uncultured bacterium. RNAcentral describes it as "bacterial SSU rRNA". It matches the Rfam family "Bacterial small subunit ribosomal RNA", at positions 21 to 893 of the family's 1533-position model. The record is from RNAcentral.
GGCUCAGACCGAACGCUGGCGGCGUGGAUUAGGCAUGCAAGUCGUACGCGAAAGAGGGGGCAACCCCUCGAGUAGAGUGGCGAACGGGUGAGUAACGCGUGAAGAACCUGCCUUCGACAGGGGGAUAACACUCCCAACGGGGUGCUAAUACCGCAUGAGACCACGGGGUCGCAUGAUCCUGAGGUCAAAGGUGGCCUCUAUUUAUAAGCUACCGGUCGAAGAUGGCUUCGCGUCCCAUUAGCUAGUUGGCGGGGUAACGGCCCACCAAGGCGACGAUGGGUAGCUGGUCUGAGAGGAUGGUCAGCCACACUGGGACUGAGAUACGGCCCAGACUCCUACGGGAGGCAGCAGUCGAGAGGCUUCGGCAAUGGGGGAAACCCUGACCGAGCGACGCCGCGUGGGGGAUGAAGGCCUUUGGGUUGUAAACCCCUUUUGUUCGGGAAGAAACGCGAUCAGGUGAACAAUCUGGUCGUCUGACGGUACCGGACGAAUAAGCUCCGGCUAACUCCGUGCCAGCAGCCGCGGUAACACGGGGGGAGCAAGCGUUGUUCGGAAUCACUGGGCGUAAAGGGCGUGUAGGCGGUCUGGCAAGUGAGAUGUGAAAUCCCUCGGCUCACCCGAGGAUCGGCAUCUCAUACUGCUAGGCUUGAGUACGGGAGAGGACAAGGGAAUUCCUGGUGUAGCGGUGAAAUGCGUAGAUAUCAGGAGGAACACCGGUGGCGAAAGCGCUUGUCUGGCCCGAUACUGACGCUGAGGCGCGAAAGCUAGGGGAGCAAACGGGAUUAGAUACCCCGGUAGUCCUAGCCGUAAACGGUGAUCACUAGGUGUUGGGGGCAUUGACCCCUCCAGUGCCGCAGCUAACGCAAUAAGUGAUCCGCCUGGGGAGUACGGCCGCAAGG